This 465-nucleotide ribosomal RNA is filed under the name Vreelandella stevensii. Its description in RNAcentral is "partial 16S ribosomal RNA". It matches the Rfam family "Bacterial small subunit ribosomal RNA", at positions 338 to 795 of the family's 1533-position model. The record is from RNAcentral. Lineage: Bacteria; Pseudomonadati; Pseudomonadota; Gammaproteobacteria; Oceanospirillales; Halomonadaceae.
CCUACGGGGGGCUGCAGUGGGGAAUAUUGGACAAUGGGGGCAACCCUGAUCCAGCCAUGCCGCGUGUGUGAAGAAGGCCCUCGGGUUAUAAAGCACUUUCAGUGAGGAAGAACGCCUGGUGGUUAAUACCCAUCAGGAAAGACAUCACUCACAGAAGAAGCACCGGCUAACUCCGUGCCAGCAGCCGCGGUAAUACGGAGGGUGCGAGCGUUAAUCGGAAUUACUGGGCGUAAAGCGCGCGUAGGUGGCUUGAUAAGCCGGUUGUGAAAGCCCCGGGCUCAACCUGGGAACGGCAUCCGGAACUGUCAAGCUAGAGUGCAGGAGAGGAAGGUAGAAUUCCCGGUGUAGCGGUGAAAUGCGUAGAGAUCGGGAGGAAUACCAGUGGCGAAGGCGGCCUUCUGGACUGACACUGACACUGAGGUGCGAAAGUGUGGGUAGCAAACAGGAUUAGAUACACUAGUAGUC